GACGAACGCUGGCGGCGUGCUUAACACAUGCAAGUCGAACGGAAAGGCCCUGCUUUUGUGGGGUGCUCGAGUGGCGAACGGGUGAGUAACACGUGAGUAACCUGCCCUUUACUUUGGGAUAACUUCAGGAAACUGGGGCUAAUACCGGAUAGGAGCUCCUGCUGCAUGGUGGGGGUUGGAAAGUUUCGGCGGGUGGGGAUGGACUCGCGGCUUAUCAGCUUGUUGGGGGGGUAGUGGCUUACCAAGGCUUUGACCGGUAGCCGGCCUGAGAGGGUGGCCGGCCACAUUGGGACUGAGAUACGGCCCAGACUCCUACGGGAGGCAGCAGUGGGGAAUAGUGCACAAUGGGCGGAAGCCUGAUGCAGCAACGCCGCGUGCGGGAUGACGGCCUUCGGGUUGUAAACCGCUUUCGCCUGUGACGAAGCGUGAGUGACGGUAAUGGGUAAAGAAGCACCGGCUAACUACGUG
RNAcentral lists this ribosomal RNA (468 nucleotides) under uncultured bacterium. RNAcentral's name for it is "partial 16S ribosomal RNA". It matches the Rfam family "Bacterial small subunit ribosomal RNA", at positions 28 to 507 of the family's 1533-position model. The record is from RNAcentral.